GCCGGAGUGGCGGAACUGGCAGACGCGCACGACUCAAAAUCGUGUGGGCCUCGCCCAUGUGGGUUCGAGUCCCACCUCCGGCACCA
This 86-nucleotide transfer RNA is filed under the name Bacillota bacterium. RNAcentral's name for it is "tRNA-Leu". It matches the Rfam family "tRNA". From Rfam's summary of the family: Transfer RNA (tRNA) molecules are approximately 80 nucleotides in length. Their secondary structure includes four short double-helical elements and three loops (D, anti-codon, and T loops). Lineage: Bacteria; Bacillati; Bacillota. The record is from RNAcentral. RNAcentral also lists the same sequence under 1 other name.